RNAcentral lists this small nuclear RNA (87 nucleotides) under Bos mutus (wild yak). Its description in RNAcentral is "U4 spliceosomal RNA (ENSBMUG00000009705.1)". It matches the Rfam family "U4 spliceosomal RNA", at positions 1 to 86 of the family's 138-position model. Rfam says of the family: U4 small nuclear RNA (U4 snRNA) is a component of the major U2-dependent spliceosome. The structure of U4 snRNA from yeast and human has been reported. The record is from RNAcentral. Lineage: Eukaryota; Metazoa; Chordata; Mammalia; Artiodactyla; Bovidae.
AGCUUUUCGCAGUGGCAGUAUCGUAGCCAAUGAGGUUUAUCCGAGGCGCGAUUAUUGCUAAUUGAAAAAAAAAAAAAGAAAGUCCCC